This 632-nucleotide long non-coding RNA is filed under the name Equus caballus (horse). RNAcentral's name for it is "lncRNA (ENSECAG00000056499.1)". Lineage: Eukaryota; Metazoa; Chordata; Mammalia; Perissodactyla; Equidae. The record is from RNAcentral.
AAUUUCAGCGUUCUUUCUGCAAUGGAAACAAAUAGCAUAAAAGAAUACUACAUGUUCUCAGAAUGAAAUGCUAUCUUCUGCUUUAAUUCCUAUGUUCGACAGCCUAGUAGUGACCUCACAGUGGAUUCUGUGAUGAAAACUAUGCUGCAGCUGGAGACUCGAGUCUCCAGUCAUGUGGAGUGCUAUCUCACACCUGUGCUCACGAAGCCAAUGUGUGUGCUUCCCUUUGCCUCAACCCCUUCAGGCUUUAGUUCCUCACAACUUUGGGCUGGGAAGCAAGAACAGGAUUCUUGAUUCUUCAGGGGAUACUCAGGUGGAGGAGGAAGAAGAAAUCAGCAUUUGGAGACAAUAAAAUGGGAAAGCCUAUCAUCUAGACCUGCUUCGUCCAAAAUUAUGGGGUGAAAGGCAGAGACUAGUGCUACUCUCAGAGUCAAGGGAUAAAAGAAUGUUGGUCCCAUCAUAUUUCCAUUUCAUUCAUCAGCUUACCCUGAGAAAAUAAUGGCUGCAUUAUGAUAAAGGCUAGACUACUAUGAACUUAACCAACUAGCAGCCUCAGAUGCAGUUGCUGCAGAAGAUGAGCUACUCUCGCAGAUAAAAACAGGCUCGGUUACACAGCAUGCGGCAAACAGUAC